This 1704-nucleotide non-coding RNA is filed under the name Cryptosporidium parvum. Lineage: Eukaryota; Apicomplexa; Conoidasida; Eucoccidiorida; Cryptosporidiidae. The record is from RNAcentral.
AUCACUAAUUAAGGGUCUAGUUUUAAAUAUUCAUCAUCGAAAUGAUUAAUACGCACAAAGCCAUCCUCUCCACCAGUAGUAAAACUCAUACCAUCAGGGGCAUAGACUAAGGCAUUCAUAGUACCAAAGUGACCUUUAAUAGCGCCAAGCUCAGUACCAUAAAUCAUGUGCAUAAUUAGAGUCUGAAAUUUACCUUCUUGAGUACCAGUAGUCGUGACAUCUUGUGCGAGUUGGCCACCUCCAAGUAAAAUGUGUCUCUUUGGGUCUUUUUCUUUGUUAAAGUUUGGAGAUAUAGAACAGCCAUUCAAAAGACGAUUAGUUGUAUACUUUCUAAUUUCCUUUAAGUUUACCAUAUCCCAUAACUUUGCUGUCAUAUCAUGGCUACAUGUUAACAUUAAGGUUCUAUCCUCAGAGAAUGAACAGCAUGUGAGUAACUUAGAAUGGGCUCUAAGAACCUCAUAUGGCUCCGAACUUUGCCUGAUAUCCCAAAUGUAAAUACCUCCAUCUUCAUGACCAGAAAUAAUAUUUUGAUCAAACAUACCCCAGUGAGCUCGUGUGAUUCUGCUGUUGAUUCCUGUAAUUCUAACGCCCUCCAUAUUUGGAUCACCGACUUUCUUUAUAAGUAACUGACGAGGCUCUGGAUAGAAUUGGUCUACAGCAACAACAAACUUGUCUUGAUUAUCAUACUUUCUAUUGAACUCAACAAAACGGCAAGUACCGCUCAUAGGAUAAGAGGAGAUUAUCUCUGCUCUUUCGAUAUCAAAGCUCACGCACUUCUGGUCUGCUGAAGACAUUAUCAAAGUUUUCCCAUCUAAUGAUGGGUCACAAUUCCAAACUGCUGCUCUUCCGGCCUCGUAUUUAGCAGCAACCUUUCCAUCGGAUGUAAAUGAACAUGCAACUGAACCAUCCUAUAAUUAAUAAUAUUAAUAUUAGUUAAAUUAGUUCUCAGUAAUUUUCCCAGUAUUACUUAAAUGGAAAAAUUUACAAAAUUAAAUGACUUACCUUGCCACAUGAAAAUACCAGAUCUCCGUCAAAAUUAUAAGUUACAAAUGUAAUAGGACGCUCAUGAGCUUGUAAUACUAUUGGCCUCAUUUUAUUUAUUCUUUUCAGAGUAAGUGUUUAUUAAACUUUGAAUAUAACUCUUAAUCAACAUAUAAUUUUUUACUAUUUCAAAAAUCCCUCUCAACCCGGCAGUCUUCAAUUUCAGGAGAACUCCAAGAUUAAGCUAAAAUUAGUUCCUGAAUCCUUCCUGUAUCAAGUAUUAAAGUUGCGGCUGCUAAAAAGCCACCUUGAUUACUCGAAUAUUUCUUUUUUCCCAGUCAAGAGGAAAAAAUUUUUCAAUAAAUAUUCCUCUGAAUUUCUAUUGGCAUCUUUUACAUUUAAUGAGACGGACGUAUUUGCCGCGCGCGGUAUUAUUGCUAUUUAUUUGUUAUUCAAUACCUUAUUACAACCAAUUUGGAAUGCAUGCAGAAAUGCGGCUACAAUUCAUAAAUAUUAAAAAUCAAUUAUAAAAGCCUAAACCAAAUAAUUAAAUAAAUAAAAGACCACAUUUAAUCAAAUCAAAAACUACGUGCUAAAUCACAAAUAAAUGUGAAUUUGCUACAAUUAAUUCUGCUGAUAGAACAUCAAGCUAAUUACUACAUAUAUGAUAGCUUUAAAGGAAUAUAUUUUUUAGGUUUGAAUUUGUUUACAUUCCAAUGCUGG